RNAcentral lists this ribosomal RNA (158 nucleotides) under Fusarium oxysporum f. sp. melonis. RNAcentral describes it as "5.8S ribosomal RNA". It matches the Rfam family "5.8S ribosomal RNA". Rfam says of the family: 5.8S ribosomal RNA (5.8S rRNA) is a component of the large subunit of the eukaryotic ribosome. Lineage: Eukaryota; Fungi; Ascomycota; Sordariomycetes; Hypocreales; Nectriaceae. The record is from RNAcentral.
AAACUUUCAGCGGCGGAUCUCUUGGUUCUGGCAUCGAUGAAGAACGCAGCAAAAUGCGAUAAGUAAUGUGAAUUGCAGAAUUCAGUGAAUCAUCGAAUCUUUGAACGCACAUUGCGCCCGCCAGUAUUCUGGCGGGCAUGCCUGUUCGAGCGUCAUUU